AAGAGCGAGAUUAUUUUCAACUCUAUGAAAUAUCGACUUCAGGGUCGAAGUUAUUUUCAGCUCUAUGAAAUAUCAACUUCAGAAUCAAAGUUAUCUUCAGUUCUAUUAAAUAUCGACCUAUAGAUCGAGAUUAUCUUGAAGUUCUAUCAAAUACCGACCUAUAGGUCGAGAUUGUCUUGAAGUUUUAUCAAAUACCGACCUCAA
RNAcentral lists this long non-coding RNA (204 nucleotides) under Elaeis guineensis (African oil palm). RNAcentral describes it as "long non-coding RNA (EGUI_LNC043880)". Lineage: Eukaryota; Viridiplantae; Streptophyta; Magnoliopsida; Arecales; Arecaceae. The record is from RNAcentral.